This 2013-nucleotide unclassified non-coding RNA is filed under the name Nilaparvata lugens (brown planthopper). RNAcentral's name for it is "dynein regulatory complex subunit 6, transcript variant X2". The record is from RNAcentral. Lineage: Eukaryota; Metazoa; Arthropoda; Insecta; Hemiptera; Delphacidae.
CCUACAGCGAGACGCGCGUUUUCGUACACCGCCCUCAGCUUAAAUGUGAAGUCACGAGAUAACAAUCAUAAUUUUAAUAAUUUUCCUAUUCAUUUAGAAAAUGUCUUCAAAUUGAUAAGUUAAUAUUAAAAAAUCUAUAAAUCAUAUAUUUAUUUUAAAAUUUUUAAAGCUUUUAUCUAUAUAAAUGAAAAAGGAAAGCCUCAAGGAAGUAUCACAAUGCAGACUCUACCACCUGAGGUUUUCCUUGGACUGCUGGAAUAUUUGCCCUACAGAGAUAGAAAAUCAUUAAGCGAAACUUCAGCAUAUUUCAAUCAGCUUUGUUUGGAUCACAAAUAUUUAGAUAAAGAACAAAUCGUAUUCGAAGGAUGUGUACUAUCACCAGAAACCUCUCCAUUAGAUAUUUUACUAAAAAGUGAGCGAACAUUUUCAAAUAUUAAAUGUACCAAUCUUGAAAUAUUUAAUAUAUCUGACAUUUUUUGGAGGAGAUUCGGACCAUACAUCAAAACACUUCACUUGAAAAGCUGCUCCAUUGCGUUGAACUAUGUUUCAUGUUUCUUCUCUUAUUUGGAAAACUUGGAAUAUUUGGAAUUAGACGAAUGCAGGGAUUUAUUCAUGAGUGGGACUAUGUUUUCAAAACCCGAUGAUCUUCUCAAAGUCGGAGAUGCUCUAAAAAAUGUGAAAGAGUUGGUGGUGAACGAGCAAAAUUACUUGAGCGAUGCACUAUUCAAUCGGCUUGUGACAUGUAUGCCUAAUUUAAAUAAUUUAUCUCUUCAUGGUUGUUAUAUAAAUUGCCAUGAAGCUGUAUAUAAGAGAUACUAUAGGAAAGACAAUGUGGAAUUGGGAUCUGACAGUGUGUUGACGUUCAGAUUCAUCUUAUCAUAUCUGCAAAAAGCUUCCAGGUUUUUAAAAAAACUUGAUUUCAGUUGGACAAAAUUGGACAAUUCUUGCUUGAAGAAAAUUGCUUUACUAGAUGGUUUGAAUUUGACUGAAAUAUGUUUGCAUGGCUGCUCUCAGUUGACUAAUGAGAGCUUGAUACACUUAGUGAACUGUCAAAAGAAUUUAUUGGUAAUUGAUAUUGGCAGUUGUGUUUGCUUGACUGAUAAGGCAUUGAUUGCCAUAAGUGAUGGUCUUCCAACAUUGAAAGAGCUCAAUAUCUCAGGCUGCUCAGGGAUUACCUACUUGGGACUUGAAUCUCUGGCUAAGCUAACCUAUCUUAACAAGCUGACCGUUAUAUAUUCGGGAUCUCCUUAUAAGAAAGAAAUGCUUCCAUUAUCAAACAAGAAUAUCAAAUUUCUUGAUUUGAGAUCAUCAAAUUUUAACGACUUAGCACUGAUUACUCUGAUUAGUGAUUUAUCCAAUCUUGUCUAUCUUGAUCUUGGUCAUUGUACAAAUAGCGUCUCAAAUUUAUCACUGCAUGCUAUAUUCAGAAACUGUCAACGUCUGCAGCAUUUGAAAGUGCGAGCUUGUCCGAGAAUAACCAACUAUGGCUUGUGUGGAAGUGCUGCAAUUCAUCCUGAUCUUGAAAAAAUUGAGAAUGAACAAGCUCAAGCUCUCAGUACUUUAGAUGAUGGACAGUUUAGAGAUGUAGCUAUCGAUACUCGAAGCUGUCGUUCAUUGCUUGAACUGAAAGAUCACUGAUGACGGAUUAAGAGUUCUUUCGGAGAACAACCCAAGCAUUGAAGAGCUUAACCUUAGUGGAUGUCACACUAUAACUGAUGAAGGACUCAAAUCAUUACAGAACUUACACAGAUUGAGACGCCUUUCCUUAAAAAAUAUUAAGCAGAUAACAGCUGAUGGAGUACUAACUAUGAGGAGGAACUGCAAAUCAUUACAGUAUUUGGAUGCUUCACAGUGUGACUUGAAUUUGGGAGUAAUGGAUUUGGGAAGCUCAACAUCUUCAAACCCUGAGGGAUUUCUAUAUUUUCAGCCUCUAGGCACAUUCUCAAAUUCAUGCCCUCGAUGGCAGAACGACACCCUCAUUCAUCAAUCCGAUUCACCAUCAUCAAUGGAAUC